This 201-nucleotide ribosomal RNA is filed under the name uncultured Anaplasma sp. RNAcentral's name for it is "partial 16S ribosomal RNA". It matches the Rfam family "Bacterial small subunit ribosomal RNA", at positions 568 to 769 of the family's 1533-position model. Lineage: Bacteria; Pseudomonadati; Pseudomonadota; Alphaproteobacteria; Rickettsiales; Anaplasmataceae. The record is from RNAcentral.
UUUGUAGGCGGUUCGGUAAGUUAAAGGUGAAAUGCCAGGGCUUAACCUUGGAGCGGCUUUUAAUACUGCCAAACUAGAGGCUGAGAGAGGAUAGCGGAAUUCCUAGUGUAGAGGUGAAAUUCGUAGAUAUUAGGAGGAACGCCGGUGGCGAAGGCGGCUAUCUGUCUCAGUACUGACGCUGAGGUGCGAAAGCGUGGGAGC